This 911-nucleotide ribosomal RNA is filed under the name Didymella anserina. Its description in RNAcentral is "LSU rRNA". It matches the Rfam family "Eukaryotic large subunit ribosomal RNA", at positions 36 to 965 of the family's 3401-position model. The record is from RNAcentral. Lineage: Eukaryota; Fungi; Ascomycota; Dothideomycetes; Pleosporales; Didymellaceae.
UAGCAUAUCAAUAAGCGGAGGAAAAGAAACCAACAGGGAUUGCCCUAGUAACGGCGAGUGAAGCGGCAACAGCUCAAAUUUGAAAUCUGGCGUCUUUGGCGUCCGAGUUGUAAUUUGCAGAGGGCGCUUUGGCAUUGGCAGCGGUCCAAGUUCCUUGGAACAGGACGUCACAGAGGGUGAGAAUCCCGUACGUGGUCGCUAGCCUUUACCGUGUAAAGCCCCUUCGACGAGUCGAGUUGUUUGGGAAUGCAGCUCUAAAUGGGAGGUAAAUUUCUUCUAAAGCUAAAUACUGGCCAGAGACCGAUAGCGCACAAGUAGAGUGAUCGAAAGAUGAAAAGCACUUUGGAAAGAGAGUUAAAAAGCACGUGAAAUUGUUGAAAGGGAAGCGCUUGCAGCCAGACUUGCCUGUAGUUGCUCAUCCGGGUUUCUACCCGGUGCACUCUUCUAUAGGCAGGCCAGCAUCAGUUUGGGCGGUUGGAUAAAGGUCUCUGUCAUGUACCUCUCUUCGGGGAGAACUUAUAGGGGAGACGACAUGCAACCAGCCUGGACUGAGGUCCGCGCAUCUGCUAGGAUGCUGGCGUAAUGGCUGUAAGCGGCCCGUCUUGAAACACGGACCAAGGAGUCUAACAUCUAUGCGAGUGUUUGGGUGUCAAGCCCGAGCGCGUAAUGAAAGUGAACGGAGGUGGGAACCUUUCGGGGUGCACCAUCGACCGAUCCUGAUGUCUUCGGAUGGAUUUGAGUAAGAGCAUAGCUGUUGGGACCCGAAAGAUGGUGAACUAUGCUUGAAUAGGGUGAAGCCAGAGGAAACUCUGGUGGAGGCUCGCAGCGGUUCUGACGUGCAAAUCGAUCGUCAAAUUUGGGCAUAGGGGCGAAAGACUAAUCGAACUAUCUAGUAGCUGGUUCCUGCCAAU